Molecule: long non-coding RNA, 390 nt
Organism: Vespula vulgaris
Lineage: Eukaryota; Metazoa; Arthropoda; Insecta; Hymenoptera; Vespidae
Exons: 2
Source: RefSeq, a predicted model, not a curated record
CUUGAGCAUGUGCAUUUACAGAUGAUAUUAAAUGCUGACGUUGUCUAACAUCAUGGUGUACUAUUUGACCACCUCUGAAAAAAAAGAAAAGAAAAUAAUUGACUUAUAUUAUCUCCUUUGUCACCAUCUUGGUCUAUUUGUUGCUGCUGAAUCUUAAAUAGAAAAAAUAGAAUUUUAUAAAGUAAGACAUUAAAAAGACAUAAUUAAUAAAUAUAUACUAAUAAUUAACUAUAAAAGAAAAAAAAAUACCUUAUAAUAACCUAAAUCGAAGUUUGUUGUUGAUCUACAAGGAAUAAAUCUAUCUCCACCAUUAGGUGUACUGGCAGGAGUAUUGACAUUACGACCUGUUGUAGAAAAUAAAAUUAAUCUUCACAAAUAUUAAUAAUACAA